UCAGAGAUGAACAAGUGCGCGGGAGAAAAUGCACUUAGGACCUGCAGGUCUUAGUAAACUUGUCGCCAGCUCACCAAGUCGUUAGAAACUACGGGGAAACUCAGGUUAAGAACACUCCAGAGACAAUUCAGAAGCAAAAAGGAUUUUGAAGGAACGGUUGUAGUCUUUCAAGUCUGCAAAUAGUUAU
This 187-nucleotide long non-coding RNA is filed under the name Nannospalax galili (Upper Galilee mountains blind mole rat). Its description in RNAcentral is "ST7 overlapping transcript 4 conserved region 1 (ENSNGAG00000008038.1)". It matches the Rfam family "ST7 overlapping transcript 4 conserved region 1". Lineage: Eukaryota; Metazoa; Chordata; Mammalia; Rodentia; Spalacidae. The record is from RNAcentral.